Molecule: ribosomal RNA, 301 nt
Filed under: uncultured bacterium
Lineage: Bacteria
Description: partial 16S ribosomal RNA
Rfam family: Bacterial small subunit ribosomal RNA
Source: RNAcentral
CAGUCGCCGCGGGAACACGAAGGGUGCAAGCGUUACUCGGAGUUACUGGGCGUAAAGCGUGCGUAGGUGGUGGUUUAAGUCCGUUGUGAAAGCCCUGGGCUCAACCUGGGAAUUGCAGUGGAUACUGGAUCACUAGAGUGUGGUAGAGGAUAGUGGAAUUUCCGGUGUAGCAGUGAAAUGCGUAGAGAUCGGAAGGAACAUCUGUGGCGAAGGCGACUAUCUGGGCCAACACUGACACUGAGGCACGAAAGCGUGGGGAGCAAACAGGAUUAGAUACCCCUGUAGUCCCUGUCUCUUAUAC